Molecule: ribosomal RNA, 1468 nt
Rfam family: Bacterial large subunit ribosomal RNA
ACACUUACACCAUAUGAAUAAAUCAUUUUACCCCCUUAGUAUGGGCGACAGAAAAGGACUCUGCGGGAGCAAUAGACAAAGUACCGCGAGGGAAUGCUGAAAGAGAAAUGAAAUAACCCAGUACAAGCCUAAAAAAGCAGAGAUUAAACCUCGUACCUUUUGCAUCAUGAUUUAGCAAGUGAAACCCAAGCAAAGAGCACUUUAGUUUGCAAACCCGAAACUACGUGAGCUACUCCAAGCCCGCCUAUAAUUAUAGGGCAAACCCGUCUCUGUGGCAAAAGAGUGGGAAGAGCUUUGAGUAGAGGUGACAAAUCUACCGAACCUAGUUAUAGCUGGUUGCCUAAGAAUUGAAUAGAAGUUCAGCCUCCCGGCUUCUUUAUUCCAAACAGUACUACUUAUACCUGAUAUAUAAGAAUCACCGUGAGAGUUAGUCAAUAGGGGAACAGCUCCUUUGACCAAAGAUACAACUUUCUUUAGGAGGGUAAAGAUCAUAACAACUAAGGCAAAAUACCCCCGUGGGCUUAAAAGCAGCCACCAUUAUAGAAAGCGUUAAAGCUCAAAUAGACCGCCAUCCCGUAUAUUACGAUUAAUCAAAUCUUAACCCCCUAUUUCCAUUAGGCCGUCCCAUGCUAGCAUGGGAGUGAUUAUGCUAAUAUGAGUAAUAAGAGGGCUUAUACCUCUCUCCCUGCACGCGUGUAAAUCAGAACGGAUACUCCACUGAACCUUAACGACCCCAUAACAAAGAGGGCACUGAGUAAUUGAACAAUAAACAAGAAAACCACUCAACAAAUAAACCGUUAACCCCACACAGGUGUGCCCCAUAGGGAAAGACUAAUAGAAAAAGAAGGAACUCGGCAAACACUGAAGCCUCGCCUGUUUACCAAAAACAUCGCCUCUUGUAAAUCUCAAAUAAGAGGUCUCGCCUGCCCAGUGACUAAUAUGUUCAACGGCCGCGGUAUUUUGACCGUGCGAAGGUAGCGUAAUCACUUGUCUUUUAAAUGGGGACCUGUAUGAACGGCACAACGAGGGCUCUACUGUCUCCUCUUUCAAGUCAAUGAAAUUGAUCUUUCCGUGCAGAAGCGGGAAUAUGAACAUAAGACGAGAAGACCCUAUGGAGCUUUAGACACCAGGACAGCCCAUGUCAAUUACCCCAAAUAAGGGACAUAAACUGAAUGGCCCCUGCCCUAAUGUCUUUGGUUGGGGUGACCGCGGCGAAAAACGUAACCUCCGCGUGGAACGGGAGAACCUUACAUUUACUUAAUGCUCCUCCAACUAAGAGCGACAGCUCUAAGAAACAAAACUUUUGACCAAAAUUGAUCCGGCAAUGCCGAUCAACGGACCGAGUUACCCUAGGGAUAACAGCGCAAUCCCCUUUUAGAGCCCCUAUCAACAAGGGGGUUUACGACCUCGAUGUUGGAUCAGGACAUCCUAAUGGCGCAGCCACUAUUAAGGGUUCGUUUGUUCAACG